AUAUCAAGGAUUUGACUGCACUAAUGCAACUUUCUGAGUUAAUAUUGACUGUGUGAUAUUGUUGAUAUGGCAAUUCUCAUAUUAUUGGCAACGCUAUCAUGUACUUAGCUAUUAAGAAGCAUAAUAAAAUCAGUCUCACUUGAACAACCAAGCGUUGCGGUUCUUCUCAUCCACUCGCGCACAAAUACUCGCCAACAGAUAUAAUGAUAUCAAUGUGAACCGUGUGCCAUGGAAUAUCUACCUUUGAUAUGGGAUGGAGCUCUACUUUUGGUUUACCCGAUGAUGGUUUUGUAAAUUUGCAUGUAAUGUAGUUGUCUACAAAUUGGCACACAUGUUAUUAAACCAGUAAAACUCA
Long non-coding RNA from Drosophila mojavensis, 355 nucleotides. RefSeq lists it as uncharacterized. NCBI's taxonomy places the organism in Eukaryota, Metazoa, Arthropoda, Insecta, Diptera, Drosophilidae. The transcript has 2 exons. The record is from RefSeq and is a predicted model, not a curated record.